UUCUGGUUGAUCCCGCCGGACCCUACUGCUAUCGGGAUGGGACUAAGACAUGCUAGUCGUGCGCUUCUAAGCCAUGGUGGAGGCGCGGCGCACAGCUCAGUAACACGUGGUUAACCUGCCCUUGGGACGGAAACACCCCCGGGAAACUGGGGCUAAUUUCCGAUAGGUGAAGACUCCUGGAAUGGAUCUUCGCCUAAAGGGCGCUUAGGCCAUGCUUCUAGGCGCUGCCCAAGGAUGGGACCGCGGCCGAUCAGGUUGUUGAUGAGGUAAUGGCUCACCAAGCCUUUAACCGGUUCGGGCCGUGGGAGCGGGAGCCCGGAGAUGGGCACUGAGACAAGGGCCCAGGUCCUACGGGGCGCAGCAGUCGCGAAAACUCCGCAAUACGCGAAGGCGUGACGGGGCUAUCCCGAGUGCCGUCCGCUGAGGAUGGCUUUUCCCCAGUGUAGAUAGCUGGGGCGAAUAAGGAGAGGGCAAGUCUGGUGUCAGCCGCCGCGGUAAUACCAGCUCUCCGAGUGGUGGGGACGUUUAUUGGGCCUGAAGCAUCCGUAGCCAGCUGAGCAAGUCCCCAGUUAAAUCCAGCGAUUUAAUCGUUGGACUGCUGGGGAUACUGUCCGGCUUGGGGGUGGGAGAGGCCGACGGUAUUCCCGGGGUAGGGGUGAAAUCCUAUAAUCCCGGGAGGACCACCAGUGGCGAAGGCUGUUGGCUAAAACAUGCCCGACGGUGAGGGAUGAAAGCUGGGGGAGCGAACCGGAUUAGAUACCCGGGUAGUCCCAGCUGUAAACGAUGCAGGCUAGGUGUUAGGGCGGCCACGUGCCGCUCUAGUGCCGCAGGGAAGCUGUUAAGCCUGCCGCCUGGGGAGUACGGCCGCAAGGCUGAAACUUAAAGGAAUUGGCGGGGGAGCAC
Molecule: ribosomal RNA, 903 nt
Filed under: crenarchaeote enrichment culture clone 61-59f
Lineage: Archaea; Thermoproteati; Thermoproteota
Description: bacterial SSU rRNA
Rfam family: Archaeal small subunit ribosomal RNA
Source: RNAcentral